Phascolarctos cinereus (koala) is the source of this 966-nucleotide non-coding RNA. The record is from RefSeq and is a predicted model, not a curated record. Lineage: Eukaryota; Metazoa; Chordata; Mammalia; Diprotodontia; Phascolarctidae.
CAGCCAGCUAAAGCAUGUAAAAUGAAAGGGUUUUUGUGUACGUCAGCCAGCUACACUAUUCCACAGCCAGACAGAACCCAUCACUCUGCUUGGCUGACUUGCAACUGUAACGUGGCCUAAGGGAGAAGUGGUCAGCAAGUAUGUCUGGCACAAAGCCAUCUCCACUACUGGAAGAACAGUGUGACCUGCAUACCAUACUAAUGUUGCCUCUUCCUCCUUCUUUUCUCCAAUUCUAAACCACCCAGAAGGCGACAGCAUAAAAAAUGAAUAAACCAGGAAUUCAGAUUUUUUGUGAGUGCCAAAAAAAAAAAAUGGAAGGAAUGGAAAAGGACGAGAGCCAGAAGAUUCCCUUCACACACAGUCAAUUAUUAGGACUGAUGUCAUGCUAUUCCUGGACAAUGUCCCAUUGAUAAGCGAUGUGGUAUCUGCUAUAUUCUUCCCAUGCAGGGACCUGGAGAAACCAAAAACGGAAUGGAAUAUUAUAGUCCAAAAAAAAUCAAAGAAGUUCAAUUUGCAACCCAAAUUGACAGAUACUGAAAACCUGAGCCUAAUCAUCAAAGAAAAAAAAAUGUAUAUUUUUAAGAGGAGGCAUUUGAAGCAUUCCUGGAGGGGAAAAGCAUAUUCAAACAGAAUAUCAAUUUGCAAAAACACCCAAACAGGAGAAACUUAAGAAAUUGACAACAGCUAUGCAUGGACAAAGCAGAGGCUGAUCUCCCUAGUAGAAGAAAAGCUAAAAGAUCUAAAGAGACAUUUCUGCUUUCUAGAUGAAGAAGUUCUUUGAAAGCAAGCAAGAAGCACUUCAAAGCAAGAACAAACAAAAAAGAACAUGAAGAAGUAGAGGGACAUCCCAACAAGGGUCAGGAAAUUGUGAGGUGGAAGAAUGUACUAAAGAAAAGAAAGGGAAGAAUAAUUACUGUGCAGCUUUAUCACUGGCAUGCUGCUCUUCCCACAAAAAAUAAAAGUAAA